Calidris pugnax (ruff) is the source of this 1416-nucleotide long non-coding RNA. RefSeq lists it as uncharacterized. The transcript is spliced from 3 exons. NCBI's taxonomy places the organism in Eukaryota, Metazoa, Chordata, Aves, Charadriiformes, Scolopacidae. The record is from RefSeq and is a predicted model, not a curated record.
GUAAUACAGAGCUUGGGAGGUAAGGUUAAAGUCCUGUUUGCCAUUAACUACAAAGCAACGCAGAGAGAGAUCAAGUCAAUCUUCUAGUGUGCCACCAGUGUUUGAAAUGUGUUCAUUAAACAAAGAAACUGCAGGAACAAUUGCAUUAAAUUGUACUUGAAGAUAAGAACACAAUCUACCCUUUAAAGAAGAACGAAAUCAGUUGUAUUGGAAACUUUUGGCCAAGAGGAAAGGUUUUCCUAGAAAAUCCUGCUUUACUAAGAAGAUCUUUUUCUGCUUCCUCAGUUUUCCAUCAUUCUUCAAGACUAAGUAUCGAUUACAUCUAAAAUAAGAAAAAGAAAAAGGAAGACAGAUUUCCUAACAAGCAAUAUCUGUUUAUCAUCCGAUGCCAAGAAACUGUACAGCAGCUUGGAGAAAUGGAGUGUUUUUUUCUGUGGCUUGGGAGUCCAGAUCAUUGCAGGAACUUCUGAAAUUGUGAAUCCAAAGAUUUUGUAAAAUUUAUGUCUUGAAAAUGAAAAUUUCGUUUUAAUUUAUUUAAUACUAAAGGUAGCACAGAACAAUUUUUCAGACUGAAAUCCUCAAAGAGGCAUUAAUGUAAUAAUGUGACCAGAAUUGUUUUCAUAUCUCUAACAUUGCUUCUCCAUUCAUACAGCUCACAGUCUGUCAGCUACGAGCUUUUAUUUGUUUGUAUACUUCUUCAAGAGUACAAGAGAUAAACCAAGAGAUAGCCCUUCCAGUAAUGUGAUCAGCCGUGUAUUAUUAACGAAUCACAAAUUAAAGUAAUUACUGAUGAUCAUGUAUAUAAUAUUCGUGAAAAAUAUCUACAAAGACAUUGCUUCUAUAGGAGUUCUGUAAAUAUGAGCCCAAAUUAACUAUAAAUUAUAAUCAGUUGACUGAACUCAAUGCAAUAAUUAAUUCAACAAAAUCCUUCACCACAAAAAUGUGUAGAAGAGCAAAGAUCUGAUUAUAGGUCAGCAGUUGUCCUGAUAUUUUCAGUAACUGAACCAUUUCUCUACCUCUGUAGAAAUAAAGAGGAAGCACACAGAGUCAAGAACUUUUCUCUCUGGCAGCAUUAUCACACUUAAAUCCCAGUCAGAACCAAAGUUAAUAAAAGGAGUGGGCUUCAUUACAAGUAUUAAUUGUAUUUUUAAAUACCCUGCAAUUCAAUCAAGAGUUAACUUUCACAAUCUUUCAAAACAUGGCUGUGCCACUGGAAAAAGCUAUGUGCCUGCAGAUGCAAUAGUAAAAGCUACUUAAAUAACUGCGUUUAAGGGCUUUCUGAAACUGGUUUGUGAUAUUUGAUGAAAAAUAACUAAAAAUUAUUUUCUCCCUAAUCAUUUGAGCCUAGUAGAAUAACCAUAAGAUAAAAAAAAAAAAAGCAUCUAUUCUCCUACCAAAUUUAUUUAAGUGUUGUCA